Long non-coding RNA from Ostrea edulis (European flat oyster), 1040 nucleotides. RefSeq lists it as uncharacterized. NCBI's taxonomy places the organism in Eukaryota, Metazoa, Mollusca, Bivalvia, Ostreida, Ostreidae. The record is from RefSeq and is a predicted model, not a curated record. The transcript has 2 exons.
ACUUUUAAAACCCUACUAUCAAAAUGUCCGAUUGUUGUUUUGAAAAAAAAGAAAAAGAUUUUUCAUAGUAAUUCAUAAAGGAACAUGAAUCUUAAAGGCUGGAAUAGGAGUUUAAAGAGACACUACAGCUCAUUUUGCGCAAAAAUCAUGAAAUGACAAUUUUCCCAGCGCUUUCUCAAUUUUUGUUGCAUUGUUGAAAGUAUGAACUUUACGAAAAUAACACUUAUCUAAAGUUAAAAAUUAUCGUUUUAACGUAAAAAUUAAUACUUUUUGAUGGCCUAUACAAAAAAUAUCGAGUCUCCUCCUUUUAGUCUUCAGACGCAUGCGCAUAGACAGUAAACAGUGCAGCAUGUCGUCCAGUGAGAGAAAGUGUAGUUGAUAGAUCUAGCAUUUUGACAGAUUCUGUGAGAAAAGAGGUAAAAAUAGAAUGAGAUAAAACUCAUGCGUGAAAUAAAAUUUACCUAGGGAUCAGUAUGACCGUUGGAAAACAGAGAGCUCGGAGAAACGCAUGUAACUCAGUGGCGGAUCUAGGAUUUCCGAAGAGGGGUGUGAAAGUCAAAGAUUAGCCAAAGUAAUCGGCCAUUCGGGUGCAAAAUUUUGAUUUUCAUUCACAAUCUGUGGCGUAAAAAGGGAGGGGGAUACUGGCCCCCUAAAUCUGCCAUUGAGACUAGCUGCGAAGACACUACGUUUAAAACCCAAUGAAAGACCAGAGGAACUUUUCCAGAGACUCACAGCCUUUAUGGAGGAAAACCUUCUUAAGAAAAAUGGUAGCAUCAUACAUCACGGUAAAACAGGUGAUGAUGAUGAUGAUGAUGCGGUAACUCCAUCCUUAGAGAAUUUCAUAGUAUUGACAUGACUACGUCUGGUGCAUAGUGAGUUACCCCGGCGACGGAACAGAGCUGCGCAAUUGUACCUUGGCUUCUACAUGAAAUACUGUAGAUUCCUUAUUGUACACGAGUAUUUAAUGAAAGGCGAAGAUAACGAACAUUUAUUAAAGGACAUAUCUCAUGUUUUCAAAGUAUACAAUAUUACAUGCAUUU